UUUUUUUUGUUUGCGGUCACACGCAAUAAAUACAACUUUCAACAACGGAUCUCUUGGCUCUCGCAUCGAUGAAGAACGCAGCGAAAUGCGAUACGUAAUGUGAAUUGCAGAAUUCAGUGAAUCAUCGAAUCUUUGAACGCACCUUGCGCCCCUUGGCAUUCCGAGGGGCACACCCGUUUGAGUGUCGUGAAAUCAUCAAAAACCAUUUCUUUUUAUUAGAAAAGGAUUUUGGACUUGGAGGUUUGAUGCUUGCUCUUGUCAACAAAAGCAAGCUCCUCUCAAAUGAAUUAGUGGGGUCUGCUUUGCUGAUCCUUGACGUGAUAAGAUGUUUCUACGUUUUGGACUUGGCAUCGUGCCUGCUUCUAACUGUCUUAUGGACAAAUGAUGGUGCUCCGGUCACUGCCAAUCCACAUUGGUUUGGAGGCUGGACCCACAAAAAGAACCCU
This 446-nucleotide ribosomal RNA is filed under the name uncultured fungus. RNAcentral describes it as "eukaryotic LSU rRNA". The stretch from base 34 to 187 matches the Rfam family "5.8S ribosomal RNA". The record is from RNAcentral. Lineage: Eukaryota; Fungi.